RNAcentral lists this ribosomal RNA (405 nucleotides) under Watersipora subtorquata. RNAcentral describes it as "partial large subunit ribosomal RNA". It matches the Rfam family "Bacterial large subunit ribosomal RNA", at positions 1950 to 2619 of the family's 2925-position model. The record is from RNAcentral. Lineage: Eukaryota; Metazoa; Bryozoa; Gymnolaemata; Cheilostomatida; Watersiporidae.
GCUAAGGUAGCAUAAUAAUUUGUCUUUUCAUUGAAGACUAGUAUGAAAGGUAUAACGAAGCUUAACUGUCUCCUUAUUUUAAAACAAAACUAAUUUAAAAGUGAAAAAGCUUUUAUUUUUAAGAAGGACGAGAAGACCCUAUAGAGUUUUAGUAAAAAUUAAUAUUUUAUUAGUUAUACUUUUAUUGGGGCAAUACAAGAAAAAUAAAAAUCUUUAUAUUUAUAAACCCUCAAAGAGAACAAAAAAAACUACCUUAGGGAUAACAGCGUAAUCUUACCAGAGAGUCCUAAUUGAAGGUAAGGAUUGCGACCUCGAUGUUGGACUAAGGAAACUUUUAUAUGUAGAAGUAUAAAGUAGUAAGCCUGUUCGGCUUUUAAACCCUUACGUGAUCUGAGUUCAGACCGG